RNAcentral lists this ribosomal RNA (339 nucleotides) under Triticum aestivum (bread wheat). Its description in RNAcentral is "partial small subunit ribosomal RNA". Lineage: Eukaryota; Viridiplantae; Streptophyta; Magnoliopsida; Poales; Poaceae. The record is from RNAcentral.
AUGUUGAUGCAAGACUAUUUCGCGGAGAAUCCUACAUAUCCUCCGCACCUCUUCCGGAGGAGGUACCGAAUGUGCCGAUCUCUCUUUGUGAAAAUUGUUGAAGCUUGCGAGGCAAAUUGCCGGUAUUUUACUCAAAGAAGAAAUGCUAUGGGCUUAAAGGGAUUUAGUGCAUAUCAAAAAAUAUGUGCAGCUAUGCGGGUGAUUGCAUAUGGCGUUCCGGCUGACUAUGCCGAUGAAGAUAGCACAAUUGAGUCUGUGCGUAGAUUUGCGAAAGUGAUCAUCCGUGUCUUCGCUCCUGAGUAUCUUCGGGCACCAAUGAAGAUGACACAAAGAAAUUGA